GAUGAACGCUGGCGGCGUGCCUAAUACAUGCAAGUCGAACGCAUUGUGGUUGAAAUGAUAUGAAGAACUUGUUCAGAUUUGAUUUUCAACAUUGCAAUGAGUGGCGAACGGGUGAGUAACACGUGGGAAACCUACCUCUUAGCAGGGGAUAACAUUUGGAAACAAAUGCUAAUACCGUAUAAUAAUUAAAACCGCAUGGUUUUAGUUUAAAAGAUGGUCUUGCUAUCACUAAGAGAUGGUCCCGCGGUGUAUUAGUUAGUUGGUGAGGUAAUGGCUCACCAAGACAAUGAUACAUAGCCGAGUUGAGAGACUGACCGGCCCACAAUGGGACUGAGACACGGCCCAUACUCCUACGGGAGGCAGCAGUGGGAAUCUUCCACAAAUGGGACGAAAGUCUGAUGGAGCAACG
RNAcentral lists this ribosomal RNA (409 nucleotides) under uncultured bacterium. RNAcentral describes it as "bacterial SSU rRNA". It matches the Rfam family "Bacterial small subunit ribosomal RNA", at positions 28 to 396 of the family's 1533-position model. The record is from RNAcentral.